RNAcentral lists this ribosomal RNA (468 nucleotides) under uncultured bacterium. RNAcentral describes it as "partial 16S ribosomal RNA". It matches the Rfam family "Bacterial small subunit ribosomal RNA", at positions 28 to 507 of the family's 1533-position model. The record is from RNAcentral.
GACGAACGCUGGCGGCGUGCUUAACACAUGCAAGUCGAACGGAAAGGCCCUGCUUUUGUGGGGUGCUCGAGUGGCGAACGGGUGAGUAACACGUGAGUAACCUGCCCUUUACUUUGGGAUAACUUCAGGAAACUGGGGCUAAUACCGGAUAUGAGCUCCUGCUGCAUGGUGGGGGUUGGAAAGUUUCGGCGGUUGGGGAUGGACUCGCGGCUUAUCAGCUUGUUGGUGGGGUAGUGGCUUACCAAGGCUUUGACGGGUAGCCGGCCUGAGAGGGUGACCGGCCACAUUGGGACUGAGAUACGGCCCAGACGCCUACGGGAGGCAGCAGUGGGGAAUAUUGCACAAUGGGCGGAAGCCUGAUGCAGCAACGCCGCGUGCGGGAUGACGGCCUUCGGGUUGUAAACCGCUUUCGCCUGUGACGAAGCGUGAGUGACGGUAAUGGGUAAAGAAGCACCGGCUAACUACGUG